This 283-nucleotide ribosomal RNA is filed under the name uncultured bacterium. RNAcentral's name for it is "partial 16S ribosomal RNA". It matches the Rfam family "Bacterial small subunit ribosomal RNA", at positions 123 to 406 of the family's 1533-position model. The record is from RNAcentral.
AAUCUACCUUUCACAGAGGGAUAGCCCAGAGAAAUUUGGAUUAAUACCUUAUAGUAAUACGACUUGGCAUCAAGAUGUAUUUAAAGAUUUAUCGGUGAAAGAUGAGCAUGCGUCCCACUAGCUAGUUGGUAUGGUAACGGCAUACCAAGGCUACGAUGGGUAGGGGUCCUGAGAGGGAGAUCCCCCACACUGGUACUGAGACACGGACCAGACUCCUACGGGAGGCAGCAGUGAGGAAUAUUGGACAAUGGGCGCAAGCCUGAUCCAGCCAUGCCGCGUGCAG